UAAGAUGAAGCUUUAAGCGAUUUAUUUACAUUAAAUAGUUCUUUGGGAACAAAGCAUUUUAA
RNAcentral lists this transfer RNA (62 nucleotides) under Leiobunum exillipes. Its description in RNAcentral is "tRNA-Val". The record is from RNAcentral. Lineage: Eukaryota; Metazoa; Arthropoda; Arachnida; Opiliones; Sclerosomatidae.